GUUCGAUUUCGGUAGGCGAGGUUACCGCAGGGAUACGGAUUGCUGCCGCAAAAUAGUGGAGACACUAUGAGAGGGUCAGCAGUUUAUGUCGAAACCAAGGCAUAGACUAAUGCAAUUUCAUUGCCCUGCGAUGCUGAAGCUUGAACGGUAGCGCGUUUUU
Molecule: regulatory RNA element, 160 nt
Organism: Christensenella minuta
Lineage: Bacteria; Bacillati; Bacillota; Clostridia; Christensenellales; Christensenellaceae
Rfam family: M-box riboswitch aptamer (ykoK leader)
About the family: M-box riboswitch, also know as ykoK leader is described as a metaloregulatory RNA that sense divalent metals and function as a genetic control element of genes related to divalent metal transport in bacteria. It was first reported upstream of the B.subtilis ykoK gene and genes with related functions in other bacteria. Phylogenetic analysis of the distribution of M-box RNAs across bacterial genomes revealed that M-box riboswitches are most often employed for the regulation of Mg2+ transporter genes
Source: Rfam